AAUAAGAAGCAAAGUAUGCGUUUAGUUUCGACCUAAAAGCUUGAUGGGAACAUCCUUAUUU
Molecule: transfer RNA, 61 nt
Filed under: Prosopocoilus gracilis
Lineage: Eukaryota; Metazoa; Arthropoda; Insecta; Coleoptera; Lucanidae
Description: tRNA-Arg
Source: RNAcentral